Molecule: long non-coding RNA, 306 nt
Filed under: Lathyrus oleraceus (garden pea)
Lineage: Eukaryota; Viridiplantae; Streptophyta; Magnoliopsida; Fabales; Fabaceae
Description: Pisum sativum (pea) long non-coding RNA (PSAT_LNC002264)
Source: RNAcentral
AAAAUGUGUCACUAACAUCUUUUGUUUGAAGCUUGAGUAUCAUCCAAGACACUUUGUGGGUUCUAUUUAGAUGAUCAGUCAACACAAGGGAAUGGCUUGAGAUACUUCCAACAGGUUCAAAUGGGGUCUAUUCGUCAGUCAAAACGUUAAUCUUGAAGGAGCAAAAGUUUGUUCAAGAGUUGUCAUGCUCGCUAGGCGAGUAGAAUGGGUCGCCUAGCGAGUCCCAAGAAAAGCCACCAGAAUCACCUACGCUCAGAGGAAUUUCUUGAACUGUCAUGCUCGCUAGGCGAAGCCCACGUGUAAAAA